This 524-nucleotide ribosomal RNA is filed under the name uncultured bacterium. RNAcentral describes it as "partial 16S ribosomal RNA". It matches the Rfam family "Bacterial small subunit ribosomal RNA", at positions 28 to 523 of the family's 1533-position model. The record is from RNAcentral.
GACGAACGCUGGCGGCGUGCCUAAUACAUGCAAGUCGAGCGCAGGAAACUGACGGAACUCUUCGGAGGGAAGGCAGUGGAAUGAGCGGCGGACGGGUGAGUAACACGUAAGGAACCUGCCUCAAGGAUUGGGAUAACUCCGAGAAAUCGGAGCUAAUACCGGAUAGUUCAACGGACCGCAUGGUCCGCUGAUGAAAGGCGCUCCGGCGUCACCUUGAGAUGGCCUUGCGGUGCAUUAGCUAGUUGGUGGGGUAGUGGCCCACCGAGGCGACGAUGCAUAGCCGACCUGAGAGGGUGCUCGGCCACACUGGGACUGAGACACGGCCCAGACUCCUACGGGAGGCAGCAGUAGGGAAUCUUCCACAAUGGACGAAAGUCUGAUGGAGCAACGCCGCGUGAGUGAUGAAGGUUUUCGGAUCGUAAAACUCUGUUGUAAGGGAAGAACACGUACGAGAGGAAAUGCUCGUACCUUGACGGUACCUUACGAGAAAGCCACGGCUAACUACGUGCCAGCAGCCGCGGUAA